Molecule: long non-coding RNA, 1302 nt
Filed under: Sarcophilus harrisii (Tasmanian devil)
Lineage: Eukaryota; Metazoa; Chordata; Mammalia; Dasyuromorphia; Dasyuridae
Description: lncRNA (ENSSHAG00000027929.1)
Source: RNAcentral
AUUUUCACCUUUUUCUAAAUAAAGGUGUUUUUAAGAAAUUUAUCUUGGAACUUGAAAAAAUGUUCAACUAUAAGAGUGAAGAAUAUCAUUUAUACUAUUUCCUUGGGUUUUGCACAAUUUCCUAAUGGUUUUAGAGGCAAGAUUUUGAAUCUGAUGCAUGUGAUCCUGAAGGAACAUGGCAGCUGUUCUUGGGCUUUUAUGGAUGAGUCUUUUCAAUCAAGUACUGAUUAUUUAAUAUAAUUUUUAAUGUAAAUUUUAACUCUUCAAAGGCCAGUUGAAUUGUCAGAGUGAAAUAGAAUUGGUUAUUCUCAAAGACUCAGGACAAACUAAAUAAGCUAUAUAGUACACUAAAAAUGUACAGUACUAAUUGGAAGCAAAAUAAGUUCCAGGUUUACAGGGAUAUGUACCAUUUUUUAAGAAAUUGUGAAUGUGUGUUUCUUAGGGAAAUUUUACAUUCCUUUGUUUUGGAAGAUUGGCAAUCUUUGAAGAGUUAAAAGGAAAAAACCAACAACAGCAGUACUGAAAUGUGAAGUUUGGUAGCUUUGACUGUAAUGUACUUGACUUUCUUUUUUUUUUUUUUCUUUAUUGAACUACUUAGAAUUUUCACAAUUCUAAUAAGAUUGUUUCCAAGUCUCUCAUGUGCAAGCUUUAAAGGAUGCACUCUUGCCAUUUUAUAUACUGGAAGAUCAGUUGUCAGAUCAAGGUUUUCUGACAAAUGUAAACUGUAUAAACUGAUGAACCUCAGCUAAUCAGUAUUACUUUGUAGAUCACCAUGCCUACCACAUUUCAAACUCAAACUGCCUCUAGAUGUCAAAAUGCAUUUUGUUUGAGUUUGUUUGCAUUUCCCUCAGCUUGCUGGUAAUUGUGGUGUUUGUUUUAUGUGUGUGUGCACGUGUGCGUGCGUGAAUGUGUGUGGUGUGUUUGUAUGUUUUUAAAUGCAGAUGUGAUGUAAUAUUCUUAUUUUCUUUGGAUCAAAGCUGGACUGAAAAUUGUAUUGUGUAAUUAUUUUGUGUUCUUAAUGUUAUUUGGUACUUAAGUUGUAAAUAGCGUCUACUGCUGUUUAUUCCAGUUUCUACUACCUCAGGUGUCCUAUAGAUUUUCUUCUACCAAAGUUCACUUUCACAAUGAAAUUAUAUUUGCUAUGUGACUAUGAUUCCUAAGACUUCCAGGGCUUAAGGGCUAACUUCUAUUAGCACCUUACUGUGCAAGCAAAUGUUACAAAAAUCUCUGGGUUAAGAAUUUGGCUUAAAUGUAUCCUUUUGUUAUUUUAAAUAUAUCAAGAUAUUUUAAUUAAAAGUUUUU